RNAcentral lists this long non-coding RNA (824 nucleotides) under Pan troglodytes (chimpanzee). RNAcentral describes it as "long non-coding RNA NONPTRT005876". The record is from RNAcentral. Lineage: Eukaryota; Metazoa; Chordata; Mammalia; Primates; Hominidae.
GUCCGCAGCCGCUCCCUUGCCGGACGUGGGGCUGCCUGUGCCAGGCACUGCUGGGGCCCUGCUCAUGGCAAAUGCAGCACUGGUGUCCUCCGCAGGCCGGAACCUGUGUCUGGGGGGAGAACGCAGUGGCCGAAGGUGGGAACCAUGUGGCAGUGACCAGGGUCUCGACCGCCCCCACCCCAGCACCCCCUCAGGCUGCAGCUCCAAGGGCCCUCUGGGCAAGACAGGAACAGAAACCAAGUGUCAGGCUUCGGGACAAGCUGUGAGGCUGGCCGCCCUGCCUUGGGCUGAGGGGCCUUGUGAUAUGGCGUCUGUGUUUGGCCACGGCCAGGCUGACCCGCAGGCGGGAGAGAUGAUUGUCCCAGACUCUGCACUCUCCAGGGGGGGGCCUCACGCGCCAGGCCCAAGGUUCCUGAAACAAAGCCUGAGGGAAGUUCUUCCUUUUGUCUGCCUUGAGUAUGUCUUGUUGCUGUCGUUCUCGUUCUGACUUGGGUGGAAAUGGAGAGAGGCCCCUUCUGGGGUUUCAGGGCACUCAAGGGUCUGGGGCUUGGGGCACUUGAGGGGGCCCCCAAACAGCACAGACAGCCACGGCAUCACCUAAGCUUGGGGAUGCCUUCCAGGCACUCCUCUGCCCAGCCACCCCCCACUUAGUCUGCUGGUAUUUACUGAGCACCAGCACCCUGGCAAGUCGGGUCCUGUACCCAUAGCAACUGAGGCCAGACUCGGCCUUCCAGGCCCCUCCUGUAGGCAGCACAGCACUCACUGAUGCCAGGCUGUCAGGAGGGUGUCUGGGGCUGACCCUCACGCCGCCACCAGAGGGCGCC